Molecule: ribosomal RNA, 643 nt
Filed under: uncultured Actinomycetes bacterium
Lineage: Bacteria; Bacillati; Actinomycetota; Actinomycetes
Description: bacterial SSU rRNA
Rfam family: Bacterial small subunit ribosomal RNA
Source: RNAcentral
CGCGGCCUAUCAGCUUGUUGGUGAGGUAAUGGCCUACCAAGGCUUCGACGGGUAGCCGGCCUGAGAGGGCGACCGGCCACACUGGGACUGAGACACGGCCCAGACUCCUACGGGAGGCAGCAGUGGGGAAUAUUGCACAAUGGGCGAAAGCCUGAUGCAGCGACGCCGCGUGAGGGAUGACGGCCUUCGGGUUGUAAACCUCUUUCAGCAGGGAAGAAGCGAAAGUGACGGUACCUGCAGAAGAGGCGCCGGCUAACUACGUGCCAGCAGCCGCGGUAAUACGUAGGGCGCGAGCGUUGUCCGGAAUUAUUGGGCGUAAAGAGCUCGUAGGCGGUCUGUCGCGUCGGAUGUGAAAGCCCGGGGCUUAACCCCGGGUCUGCAUUCGAUACGGGCAGACUAGAGUGUGGUAGGGGAGAUCGGAAUUCCUGGUGUAGCGGUGAAAUGCGCAGAUAUCAGGAGGAACACCGGUGGCGAAGGCGGAUCUCUGGGCCGAUACUGACGCUGAGGAGCGAAAGCGUGGGGAGCGAACAGGAUUAGAUACCCUGGUAGUCCACGCCGUAAACGGUGGGCACUAGGUGUGGGGGACAUUCCACGUUUUCCGCGCCGUAGCUAACGCAUUAAGUGCCCCGCCUGGGGAGUACGG